Stegastes partitus (bicolor damselfish) is the source of this 584-nucleotide long non-coding RNA. RefSeq lists it as uncharacterized. Lineage: Eukaryota; Metazoa; Chordata; Actinopteri; Pomacentridae. The record is from RefSeq and is a predicted model, not a curated record. The transcript has 5 exons.
CCAUCUUGCUUGAUGAUGGUUUGAUGUUCUCAGGGUUCAAGACUUCACCUUGUCUUGAUUUGACGAGCUCAGCGUUCCUAUUCGUAACCUCUGUGUUCCUGUCUCAUUUGAUUGUGUAACGUGGUUUAGUUUAGACUUUGGUUUGUAUCCAGAUGAUGGUAUCCAAGCCAGCUGACCGGCCUCCUGUGUUUGGCUUCUUGCCUUUUUCUUACUCUGUUUGUUUUCUCAGUUGUACAAAAUCGUCUCAUUUUUUUUACUCUGUUAUCAGAACUUGUCGUUUUUUUACGGGCUUGUUUUCGUCCCAUCUAGUCGCACACGUCGAGCAGCAGCUGCAGCGUGGACCGGACCGCCACCAAGUCCCGGGUCACACCAAGAAAGCUUCUGAAUACUAUAACUAGAUCCAGUAACGCUCUGACAUCCGCUGCUCAUCCUUCCCUCAACGCUCGGCGCUCCAGUAACUUCUGUCUGGUCGGCUCCCAUAAGAUCACGCUGGCCUCGCUGGGACACAGCAAGUUCCCUCUGGACAAGAUGAAGCUUGAAGGCAAAAUCAGGAGGCUGCUGGGAGAUGAGUUUCAGGAAAAGGU